RNAcentral lists this ribosomal RNA (344 nucleotides) under Xanthomonas oryzae pv. oryzae. RNAcentral's name for it is "bacterial LSU rRNA". It matches the Rfam family "Bacterial large subunit ribosomal RNA", at positions 1368 to 1707 of the family's 2925-position model. Lineage: Bacteria; Pseudomonadati; Pseudomonadota; Gammaproteobacteria; Lysobacterales; Lysobacteraceae. The record is from RNAcentral.
GUCCGCUCAGGGUUAGUCAGGACCUAAGCCGAGGCCGACAGGCGUAGGCGAUGGACAACAGGUUGAUAUUCCUGUACCACCUCUUUAUCGUUUGAGCAAUGGAGGGACGCAGAAGGAUAGAAGAAGCGUGCGAUUGGUUGUGCACGUCCAAGCAGUUAGGCUGAUAAGUAGGCAAAUCCGCUUAUCGUGAAGGCUGAGCUGUGAUGGGGAAGCUCCUUAUGGAGCGAAGUCUUUGAUUCCCCGCUGCCAAGAAAAGCUUCUAGCGAGAUAAAAGGUGCCUGUACCGCAAACCGACACAGGUAGGCGAGGAGAGAAUCCUAAGGUGUGCGAGAGAACUCUGGUUA